RNAcentral lists this long non-coding RNA (363 nucleotides) under Manihot esculenta (cassava). RNAcentral's name for it is "long non-coding RNA (MESC_LNC012808)". Lineage: Eukaryota; Viridiplantae; Streptophyta; Magnoliopsida; Malpighiales; Euphorbiaceae. The record is from RNAcentral.
CCAGAUAAAUCAUCAUCUACGUUUACAUCACUAUCGCCUACCCCACUAUAUUAGCUUUCGAUUCAGAGAAAAUCUUAUAGUUCGGAAAAUCAACUUCGUAAGCUGGCUGAGCUCCGUCUUGAGGUGUGAUUCACGAUACAUACGAACGAGCUCAGAUAUUAUAUGCCGAUCUGAUGAAAAACAUAAGUCUUCGAGUUAAAGUCCCAGGGAGAUCAACAUCACUACCCGUUCACCUGCCCGAAGCGCCAACAAAAAACCAACAAGGUAUUCUGAAGGGCAAUGGAACAAGUGAAGGCAACACCAGAAAAUUGGGGAAAUAUUCUGAAGAGCAAUGGAACAAGUGAAUGUUAGCACCACAAAAGU